CAGCUGUAAUCACUACGAGGUCUGGGUUUAUGAACCCCUCCUUCCUCACCUCCCUCUCCUUCAGCUGUAAUCACUACGAGGUCUGGGUUUAUGAACCCCUCCUUCCUCACCUCCCUCUCCUUCAGCUGUAAUCACUACGAGGUCUGGGUUUAUGAACCCCUCCUUCCUCACCUCCCUCUCCUUCAGCUGUAAUCACUACGAGGUCUGGGUUUAUGAACCCCUCCUUCCUCACCUCCCUCUCCUUCAGCUGUAAUCACUACGAGGUCUGGGUUUAUGAACCCCUCCUUCCUCACCUCCCUCUCCUUCAGCUGUAAUCACUACGAGGUCUGGGUUUAUGAACCCCUCCUUCCUCACCUCCCUCUCCUUCAGCUGUAAUCACUACGAGGUCUGGGUUUAUGAACCCCUCCUUCCUCACCUCCCUCUCCUUCAGCUGUAAUCACUACGAGGUCUGGGUUUAUGAACCCCUCCUUCCUCACCUCCCUCUCCUUCAGCUGUAAUCACUACGAGGUCUGGGUUUAUGAACCCCUCCUUCCUCACCUCCCUCUCCUUCAGCUGUAAUCACUACGAGG
This is a long non-coding RNA of Oncorhynchus keta (chum salmon), 569 nucleotides long. RefSeq lists it as uncharacterized. NCBI's taxonomy places the organism in Eukaryota, Metazoa, Chordata, Actinopteri, Salmoniformes, Salmonidae. The record is from RefSeq and is a predicted model, not a curated record. The transcript has 4 exons.